RNAcentral lists this ribosomal RNA (256 nucleotides) under uncultured bacterium. RNAcentral describes it as "partial small subunit ribosomal RNA". It matches the Rfam family "Bacterial small subunit ribosomal RNA", at positions 26 to 285 of the family's 1533-position model. The record is from RNAcentral.
AGGACGAACGCUGGCGGCGUGCUUAACACAUGCAAGUCGAGCGGAAAGGCCUCUUUGGGGGUACUCGAGCGGCGAACGGGUGAGUAACACGUGAGUAACCUGCCCUGGACUUUGGGAUAACCCUCGGAAACGGGGCUAAUACCGGAUACGACAAUUCACCGCAUGGUGUGGUUGUGGAAAGUUUUUCGGUCUGGGAUGGGCUCGCGGCCUAUCAGCUUGUUGGUGGGGUGAUGGCCUACCAAGGCGACGACGGGUA